Oncorhynchus tshawytscha (Chinook salmon) is the source of this 588-nucleotide long non-coding RNA. Lineage: Eukaryota; Metazoa; Chordata; Actinopteri; Salmoniformes; Salmonidae. The record is from Ensembl.
UUCUAUCUAACUGAGAGUCUCCUCAUUGAAAACAUCAGAAGUUCUUCAAAGGGAAACCAGGGCGGGCCUGGUGAGUCUGGAGAAUCUGCGUUAUCGGGCGAAACAGUGAGGUUUCUAGACGGUCUAAAACUCUGCCAACUGGUGAACUGGGCCCACUAGGACCAUGCAGGGCUCCAGGCUCCUGACUGGUGGCAAAGGCGAGAAAAGGGGAUCCAGGGAAACCAGGGAAACCGGGCCCGCCGGGACCAAAGGUGAGGAUCACAACCCGACUUCAACCCACUGUGCCAGGGGACGAGACGAGGCAAACGGCCCCCACACCACCACCUCCGCAGCCCUGUCUGAAGCACCACAAUGGUGCUCUGUAUACCAAUCAUGUUCAGGCUGUUCUCGACCAGUGUUUAAGAGGGUUUAAACAGAUGGCAAGGUUCAUUAGAAACAACUCAGUGUAGCAGUUGCACACUUCAGGCCCCUUUAGACCAGAUGGGGAGGGAAUGUAGCAUGUCAAAAACUUCCAGAAAUGGAGAGAGAUAAUAGUCUACACUUUAAAACACUAUGGAGGCCAAGAGAGUUAUUUGAUUUUCAGCAAUG